UAACCGGCGAUUUCCGAAUGGGGAAACCCAGUGUGAUUCGUCACACUAUCAUUAACUGAAUCCAUAGGUUAAUGAGGCGAACCGGGGGAACUGAAACAUCUAAGUACCCCGAGGAAAAGAAAUCAACCGAGAUUCCCCCAGUAGCGGCGAGCGAACGGGGAGCAGCCCAGAGCCUGAAUCAGUGUGUGUGUUAGUGGAAGCGUCUGGAAAGGCGCGCGAUACAGGGUGACAGCCCCGUACACAAAAAUGCACAUAUUGUGAGCUCGAUGAGUAGGGCGGGACACGUGGUAUCCUGUCUGAAUAUGGGGGGCCCAUCCUCCAAGGCUAAAUACUCCUGACUGACCGAUAGUGAACCAGUACCGUGAGGGAAAGGCGAAAAGAACCCCGGCGAGGGGAGUGAAAAAGAACCUGAAACCGUGUACGUACAAGCAGUGGGAGCACGCUUAGGCGUGUGACUGCGUACCUUUUGUAUAAUGGGUCAGCGACUUAUAUUCUGUAGCAAGGUUAACCGAAUAGGGGAGCCGAAGGGAAACCGAGUCUUAACUGGGCGUUAAGUUGCAGGGUAUAGACCCGAAACCCGGUGAUCUAGCCAUGGGCAGGUUGAAGGUUGGGUAACACUAACUGGAGGACCGAACCGACUAAUGUUGAAAAAUUAGCGGAUGACUUGUGGCUGGGGGUGAAAGGCCAAUCAAACCGGGAGAUAGCUGGUUCUCCCCGAAAGCUAUUUAGGUAGCGCCUCGUGAAUUCAUCUCCGGGGGUAGAGCACUGUUUCGGCAAGGGGGUCAUCCCGACUUACCAACCCGAUGCAAACUGCGAAUACCGGAGAAUGUUAUCACGGGAGACACACGGCGGGUGCUAACGUCCGUCGUGAAGAGGGAAACAACCCAGACCGCCAGCUAAGGUCCCAAAGUCAUGGUUAAGUGGGAAACGAUGUGGGAAGGCCCAGACAGCCAGGAUGUUGGCUUAGAAGCAGCCAUCAUUUAAAGAAAGCGUAAUAGCUCACUGGUCGAGUCGGCCUGCGCGGAAGAUGUAACGGGGCUAAACCAUGCACCGAAGCUGCGGCAGCGACGCUUAUGCGUUGUUGGGUAGGGGAGCGUUCUGUAAGCCUGCGAAGGUGUGCUGUGAGGCAUGCUGGAGGUAUCAGAAGUGCGAAUGCUGACAUAAGUAACGAUAAAGCGGGUGAAAAGCCCGCUCGCCGGAAGACCAAGGGUUCCUGUCCAACGUUAAUCGGGGCAGGGUGAGUCGACCCCUAAGGCGAGGCCGAAAGGCGUAGUCGAUGGGAAACAGGUUAAUAUUCCUGUACUUGGUGUUACUGCGAAGGGGGGACGGAGAAGGCUAUGUUGGCCGGGCGACGGUUGUCCCGGUUUAAGCGUGUAGGCUGGUUUUCCAGGCAAAUCCGGAAAAUCAAGGCUGAGGCGUGAUGACGAGGCACUACGGUGCUGAAGCAACAAAUGCCCUGCUUCCAGGAAAAGCCUCUAAGCAUCAGGUAACAUCAAAUCGUACCCCAAACCGACACAGGUGGUCAGGUAGAGAAUACCAAGGCGCUUGAGAGAACUCGGGUGAAGGAACUAGGCAAAAUGGUGCCGUAACUUCGGGAGAAGGCACGC
This 1607-nucleotide ribosomal RNA is filed under the name Shigella sonnei. RNAcentral's name for it is "partial 23S ribosomal RNA". It matches the Rfam family "Bacterial large subunit ribosomal RNA", at positions 101 to 1751 of the family's 2925-position model. Lineage: Bacteria; Pseudomonadati; Pseudomonadota; Gammaproteobacteria; Enterobacterales; Enterobacteriaceae. The record is from RNAcentral.